GUACCUUCUUGAAGCGUCUCGCUUUGAUCAUGUGUAGUAUCUGUUCUAGAAAGCUUAAUCUCUUUCUGCCAUCACACGUUGAUGUGCAUAUUCGAUUAAACUUAUUUUUCUUCGAGGUGAGGUCAUAUGUUUGGUGCUUGCAUCAUUCGACCUCUACGCAUUCGCUCUGUAUUGCACAACUUCAGAGAUUUACGAGAGUGCGCCUCAC
This is a small nuclear RNA of Dictyostelium discoideum AX4, 208 nucleotides long. It matches the Rfam family "U2 spliceosomal RNA". From Rfam's summary of the family: U2 is a small nuclear RNA (snRNA) component of the spliceosome (involved in pre-mRNA splicing). Complementary binding between U2 snRNA (in an area lying towards the 5' end but 3' to hairpin I) and the branchpoint sequence (BPS) of the intron results the bulging out of an unpaired adenosine, on the BPS, which initiates a nucleophilic attack at the intronic 5' splice site, thus starting the first of two transesterification reactions that mediate splicing. The record is from Rfam. NCBI's taxonomy places the organism in Eukaryota, Evosea, Eumycetozoa, Dictyosteliales, Dictyosteliaceae.